RNAcentral lists this ribosomal RNA (492 nucleotides) under uncultured bacterium. Its description in RNAcentral is "partial 16S ribosomal RNA". It matches the Rfam family "Bacterial small subunit ribosomal RNA", at positions 28 to 507 of the family's 1533-position model. The record is from RNAcentral.
GAUGAACGCUAGCUACAGGCUUAACACAUGCAAGUCGAGGGGAAACGGCAUUAAGUGCUUGCACUUUUUGGACGUCGACCGGCGCACGGGUGAGUAACGCGUAUCCAACCUUCCCAUGACUAAGGGAUAACCUGCCGAAAGGCAGACUAAUACCUUAUGGUCUUCACUGACGGCAUCAGAUGUGAAGUAAAGAUUUAUCGGUUAUGGAUGGGGAUGCGUCUGAUUAGCUUGUUGGCGGGGUAACGGCCCACCAAGGCAACGAUCAGUAGGGGUUCUGAGAGGAAGGUCCCCCACAUUGGAACUGGGACACGGUCCAAACUCCUACGGGAGGCAGCAGUGAGGAAUAUUGGUCAAUGGGCGAGAGCCUGAACCAGCCAAGUAGCGUGCAGGAUGACGGCCCUAUGGGUUGUAAACUGCUUUUGGAUGGGGAUAAAGUCAAUCACGUGUGAUUGUUUGCAGGUACCAUACGAAUAAGGACCGGCUAAUUCCGUG